This 433-nucleotide ribosomal RNA is filed under the name uncultured bacterium. RNAcentral's name for it is "partial 16S ribosomal RNA". It matches the Rfam family "Bacterial small subunit ribosomal RNA", at positions 29 to 507 of the family's 1533-position model. The record is from RNAcentral.
AGCGAACGCUGGCGGCAGGCUUAACACAUGCAAGUCGAGCGGACCUUUCGGGGUCAGCGGCGGACGGGUGAGUAACGCGUGGGAACGUGCCUUCCGGUUCGGAAUAACCCUGGGAAACUAGGGCUAAUACCGGAUACGCCCUUAUGGGGAAAGGUUUACUGCCGGAAGAUCGGCCCGCGUCUGAUUAGCUAGUUGGUGGGGUAACGGCCUACCAAGGCGACGAUCAGUAGCUGGUCUGAGAGGAUGAUCAGCCACACUGGGACUGAGACACGGCCCAGACUCCUACGGGAGGCAGCAGUGGGGAAUAUUGGACAAUGGGCGCAAGCCUGAUCCAGCCAUGCCGCGUGAGUGAUGAAGGCCUUAGGGUUGUAAAGCUCUUUUAUCCGGUACGAUAAUGACGGUACCGGAGGAAUAAGCCCCGGCUAACUUCGUG